This 481-nucleotide ribosomal RNA is filed under the name Aspergillus fumigatus. Its description in RNAcentral is "eukaryotic LSU rRNA". The stretch from base 65 to 218 matches the Rfam family "5.8S ribosomal RNA". The record is from RNAcentral. Lineage: Eukaryota; Fungi; Ascomycota; Eurotiomycetes; Eurotiales; Aspergillaceae.
AAGACCCCAACAUGAACGCUGUUCUGAAAGUAUGCAGUCUGAGUUGAUUAUCGUAAUCAGUUAAAACUUUCAACAACGGAUCUCUUGGUUCCGGCAUCGAUGAAGAACGCAGCGAAAUGCGAUAAGUAAUGUGAAUUGCAGAAUUCAGUGAAUCAUCGAGUCUUUGAACGCACAUUGCGCCCCCUGGUAUUCCGGGGGGCAUGCCUGUCCGAGCGUCAUUGCUGCCCUCAAGCACGGCUUGUGUGUUGGGCCCCCGUCCCCCUCUCCCGGGGGACGGGCCCGAAAGGCAGCGGCGGCACCGCGUCCGGUCCUCGAGCGUAUGGGGCUUUGUCACCUGCUCUGUAGGCCCGGCCGGCGCCAGCCGACACCCAACUUUAUUUUUCUAAGGUUGACCUCGGAUCAGGUAGGGAUACCCGCUGAACUUAAGCAUAUCAAUAAGCCGGAGGAAAAUUACCGAGUGAAGGGCCUCUGGGUCCAACCU